RNAcentral lists this ribosomal RNA (460 nucleotides) under uncultured bacterium. RNAcentral's name for it is "partial 16S ribosomal RNA". It matches the Rfam family "Bacterial small subunit ribosomal RNA", at positions 338 to 795 of the family's 1533-position model. The record is from RNAcentral.
CCUACGGGAGGCAGCAGUGAGGAAUAUUGGUCAAUGGACGAGAGUCUGAACCAGCCAAGUAGCGUGAAGGAUGACUGCCCUAUGGGUUGUAAACUUCUUUUAUAUGGGAAUAAAAUGUUCCACGUGUGGGAUUUUGUAUGUACCAUAUGAAUAAGGAUCGGCUAACUCCGUGCCAGCAGCCGCGGUAAUACGGUGGAUCCGAGCGUUAUCCGGAUUAAUUGGGUUUAAAGGGAGCGUAGGUGGAUUGUUAAGUUAGUUGUGAAAGUUUGCGGCUCAAACGUAAAAUUGCAGUUGAAACAGGCAGUCUUGAGUACAGUAGAGGUGGGCGGAAUGCGUGGUGUAGCGGUGAAAUGCAUAGAUAUCACGCAGAACUCCGAUUGCGAAGGCAGCAUACCGGCGCUCAACUGACGCUCAUGCACGAAAGUGUGGGUAUCGAACAGGAUUAGAUACCCCGGUAGUC